CCCCCCCUCCCCCCCGCCUUCCUCCCCCUCCCGCGAUUCCCACCGUCGCCACCCCCACCCACCACUGCCGACCUCAUCUCUGCCACGCACCCUCUCCCCGCGCCUUCAUCCCCCAGAUCCACCAGUCUGCUUCUCGGCCAUGGCGUCACGGUCGGUUUUCUCGCCGGUGCACGCGUGCAUGCUUUGAUGCGCGCCGCUCCGUCGAGCUGGCCGGACCGUGGCGCGCGUGUGGACCGUGUAUCCGCCACCAAAUCUCCCCCCCGCUCCCGAAUCAAAUCCCCCAAAUCUCUCCUCCGCUCCUAAAUCAAAUCCCCAUCACCUCCGCCACCACCCCACCUACUCCCACCGCCGCCGCGAGCCACGAGCGCGAGCGGGGCGAUGGCCAAUCCUCCGCUUCUCCUCGACGUCCCCACUCCAUUCGUUGUGCACGCCCUAGGACGACGGCGGCCGACAAAUCUAGGGCCGCGUGGUUGGUGCAGGAUCCGCGUCGGCGGGCGGCGACGGAAACACAUGGCGCACUGGGUGGACAACGACUCCGGCGUCCGGCGUCGACAAGUACAACAUCCUCUCCCGCUUCACCUGCAAUGCGUUCUACCUCGACUCCAAGUCCACCAUCGGCGUCGAGUUCGCCACCCGCACCCUCCUCGCGACAAAGUGCGGCUGGACGAACGAGGCUGCUAUUCUGCCUUGAUCUGCACACAAAGAGUUCCUGGACCUGACCUGAAGCAAGGAUACCUGCGGCUGCAAGCCAACAAUGUCUGAAGACAGGCUCGUCCCUGGACCAGAUGUUCAAGUACAGCCCCAUCCACUGCAUCGACCUAGAGUCAAGUGAAUGGAGCUUGUGUUGUUGGUAGAACUCCAUUGAUGACUUCUUCCUAUGUUGAAGAGCAUGUUCCGUGGUAUCCAAGAGUAGAUAGAUUUACAUUGGCAGAGCGUUUUAUUUGUCGAUCGCAAUGUUUGUGAUUGUGUGGAAUAUUGUAUGGUUAUCUACGUGAAGUUUGAAGUUCCUGGGCAUGCAAUAUUUGAUGGUCAAACAGGUUGUUGUGAUGUGAACGAGUGUAUGGAGUUUCACAUGUUUUGUUCUGUACAUAAUAUAUUGUAAUAAACCUAUUUUGGUUGUUAUUUGAAAAUUUUCAUAUUCUUA
This is a long non-coding RNA of Triticum urartu, 1144 nucleotides long. RefSeq lists it as uncharacterized. The record is from RefSeq and is a predicted model, not a curated record. Lineage: Eukaryota; Viridiplantae; Streptophyta; Magnoliopsida; Poales; Poaceae.